GAUCAUGGCUCAGGAUGAACGCUAGCGGCAGGCCUAACACAUGCAAGACUAGGGGGCAGCAAUGUCACCGUCGCACGGGUGCGUAACGCGUAUGCAACCUACCUAUCACAGGGGGAUAGCCUUUGGAAACAGGGAUUAAUACCGCAUAAAGCAGGGGCUCCGCAUGGAGAUAUUGCUAAAGAUUUAUCGGUGAUAGAUGGGCAUGCGUCUGAUUAGUUAGAUGGUAGGGUAACGGCCUACCAUGACGAUGAUCAGUAGGGGGCGUCAGAGCGUGGUCCCCCACACUGGCACUGAGAUACGGGCCAGACUCCUACGGGAGGCAGCAGUAGGGAAUAUUGGGGCAAUGGAUGCAAGUCUGACCCAGCCAUGCCGCGUGAAGGAAGAAGGUCCUCUGGAUUGUAAACUUCUUUUAUCGGGGAAGAAGAAACGCCUUGCGAGGUGAAGUGACGGUACCCGAUGAAUAAGCCACGGCUAACUACGUG
This 482-nucleotide ribosomal RNA is filed under the name uncultured bacterium. RNAcentral's name for it is "bacterial SSU rRNA". It matches the Rfam family "Bacterial small subunit ribosomal RNA", at positions 15 to 507 of the family's 1533-position model. The record is from RNAcentral.